AACGAACGCUGGCGGCAUGCCUAACACAUGCAAGUCGAACGAGACCUUCGGGUCUAGUGGCGCACGGGUGCGUAACGCGUGGGAACCUGCCCUUAGGUUCGGAAUAACUCCCCGAAAGGGGUGCUAAUACCGGAUAAUGUCUUCGGCCCAAAGAUUUAUCGCCUUUGGAUGGGCCCGCGUUGGAUUAGCUAGUUGGUAGGGUAAAAGCCUACCAAGGCGACGAUCCAUAGCUGGUCUGAGAGGAUGAUCAGCCACACUGGGACUGAGACACGGCCCAGACUCCUACGGGAGGCAGCAGUGGGGAAUAUUGGACAAUGGGCGAAAGCCUGAUCUAGCAAUGCCGCGUGAGUGAUGAAGGCCUUAGGGUUGUAAAGCUCUUUUACCCGGGAUGAUAAUGACAGUACCGGGAGAAUAAGCUCCGGCUAACUCCGUG
RNAcentral lists this ribosomal RNA (433 nucleotides) under uncultured bacterium. Its description in RNAcentral is "partial 16S ribosomal RNA". It matches the Rfam family "Bacterial small subunit ribosomal RNA", at positions 29 to 507 of the family's 1533-position model. The record is from RNAcentral.